RNAcentral lists this ribosomal RNA (253 nucleotides) under uncultured bacterium. RNAcentral's name for it is "partial 16S ribosomal RNA". It matches the Rfam family "Bacterial small subunit ribosomal RNA", at positions 524 to 776 of the family's 1533-position model. The record is from RNAcentral.
UACGUAGGGUGCGAGCGUUGUCCGGAAUUACUGGGCGUAAAGAGCUCGUAGGUGGUUUGUCGCGUUGUCCGUGAAAACUCACAACUCAAUUGUGGGCGUGCGGGCGAUACGGGCAGACUGGAGUACUGCAGGGGAGACUGGAAUUCCUGGUGUAGCGGUGGAAUGCGCAGAUAUCAGGAGGAACACCGGUGGCGAAGGCGGGUCUCUGGGCAUGUCCUGACGCUGAGGAGCGAAAGUGUGGGGAGCGAACAGG